GGAUUAGAUACCCUGGUAGUCCACGCCGUAAACGAUGAUAACUAGCUGUCCGGGCACAUGGUGUCUGGGUGGCGCAGCUAACGCAUUAAGUUAUCCGCCUGGGGAGUACGGUCGCAAGAUUAAAACUCAAAGGAAUUGACGGGGGCCUGCACAAGCGGUGGAGCAUGUGGUUUAAUUCGAAGCAACGCGCAGAACCUUACCAGCCUUUGACAUCCCGCGCUAUCCAGAGAGAUUUGGAGUUCCCUUCGGGGACGCGGUGACAGGUGCUGCAUGGCUGUCGUCAGCUCGUGCCG
This 293-nucleotide ribosomal RNA is filed under the name uncultured bacterium. RNAcentral describes it as "partial 16S ribosomal RNA". It matches the Rfam family "Bacterial small subunit ribosomal RNA", at positions 775 to 1067 of the family's 1533-position model. The record is from RNAcentral.